RNAcentral lists this ribosomal RNA (394 nucleotides) under uncultured bacterium. RNAcentral describes it as "bacterial SSU rRNA". It matches the Rfam family "Bacterial small subunit ribosomal RNA", at positions 505 to 898 of the family's 1533-position model. The record is from RNAcentral.
GUGUCAGCCGCCGCGGUAAUACAGAGGGUGCGAGCGUUAAUCGGAAUUACUGGGCGUAAAGCGUGCGUAGACGGUUUCGUAAGUCGGGUGUGAAAUCCCCGGGCUCAACCUGGGAAUUGCAUUCGAAACUGCGAGGCUAGGGUACGGAAGAGGGAAGCGGAAUUUCUGGUGUAGCGGUGAAAUGCGUAGAUAUCAGAAGGAACAUCAGUGGCGAAAGCGGCUUCCUGGUCCAGUACCGACGUUCAGGCACGAAAGCGUGGGGAGCAAACAGGAUUAGAUACCCUGGUAGUCCACGCCUUAAACGAUGAGAACUAGACGUUGAGAGGGUUAGCCUCCCAGUGUCGCAGCUAACGCGCUAAGUUCUCCGCCUGGGGAGUACGGCCGCAAGGUUGAA